AAAUUGAAGAGUUUGAUCAUGGCUCAGAUUGAACGCUGGCGGCAGGCCUAACACAUGCAAGUCGAACGGUAGCACAGAGAGCUUGCUCUCGGGUGACGAGUGGCGGACGGGUGAGUAAUGUCUGGGAAACUGCCUGAUGGAGGGGGAUAACUACUGGAAACGGUGGCUAAUACCGCAUAACGUCGCAAGACCAAAGAGGGGGACCUUCGGGCCUCUUGCCAUCAGAUGUGCCCAGAUGGGAUUAGCUUGUUGGUGAGGUAACGGCUCACCAAGGCGACGAUCCCUAGCUGGUCUGAGAGGAUGACCAGCCACACUGGAACUGAGACACG
RNAcentral lists this ribosomal RNA (329 nucleotides) under Salmonella enterica. RNAcentral describes it as "bacterial SSU rRNA". It matches the Rfam family "Bacterial small subunit ribosomal RNA", at positions 1 to 328 of the family's 1533-position model. The record is from RNAcentral. Lineage: Bacteria; Pseudomonadati; Pseudomonadota; Gammaproteobacteria; Enterobacterales; Enterobacteriaceae.